RNAcentral lists this unclassified non-coding RNA (4561 nucleotides) under Hevea brasiliensis (rubber tree). The record is from RNAcentral. Lineage: Eukaryota; Viridiplantae; Streptophyta; Magnoliopsida; Malpighiales; Euphorbiaceae.
GGACCGUGACGGCACCCAAGAAAGGUAAAACAACUGAAUCCAGUACGUCCGUCUGUCUCACUCUCUCUCCCUCGCAUUCCACAGUAAAGGUAAGCGGCGACGGAAGCAAAGACCGUGCUGUUCAGUCUCUUUGCCGCCUUCAUUGACGCUUUCUCCGUUUUCCUUCUUAGGCUUAGUUUUUGGAAUUGAUGGCGUCCAAGUUGCAGCAGUUGCAGUCCAAGGCAUGUGAAGCUUCUAAGUUUGUGUCUAAGCAUGGAACUGCCUACUACAAGCAGUUGUUGGAGCAGAAUAAGCAAUAUAUUCAGGAACCUCCCACUGUUGAGAAGUGCAACUUGUUGUCAAAGCAGUUGUUCUACACUCGACUUGCUAGGUUUUUACUUCUUGUACCCUUGAUCUUUCGUCUUGCUUGGUUUUUACUUCUUGUACCCUUGUUAUCAUGGAAUUCAAUGUUGCUGAUGAAUGGUUUUCUCCUCUUACUCCUGCUUAAAAAAAUUUAACUGUGAUAUGAAUGGAGAGUUAUUUGCAUUGGAGGACUUUAUGUAUGGAUUUUAUGUUUUUCUCCACCUUAAAGUGAAGAUUUGCAUUAUCGUUGGCUGGAUGUGCUAGCCCAGUAUGACACUUCUUGCUGAAGAAUAGAUGUAUCAUUUUUUUGUUAGAUUAAUAUAUGCAACUAUUGUUAUGUAAAUUUGGAAAUGUUUUCUAUGUCUUUAGCCAGAAGCUCAUUGAUAAACAAAGAGCGAAGCAUAUGGUUUGUGAUUUAAGCUGUUUGGUGAAAAUGAAAUUCCUGAGCACAUGGAAUUCUUUUCGGUUAUGGAUUUAUGGUUGGGUUUGAUCAGGUUUCAUUGGCCAUUCAUAGUAUUUCUGUAUUUGAGUUGUAGAAAACUAGUUAUUGAAAAGUUUGGUUGAAAGAUAUUACUGCAUAAAGAGAAAGUGCCUUCUCUGCUAAGUGUCAUUCUGCUAUCUUUUUGGAUGAAGAGUGUGCAUUGACUUUUUCAUUGCAAGCUUCAUCGCCUUAACAUCAUCCAGAUUCUUUAUGAGCAGAUUUUCAAUCAAUCCAAUAAGUUGUUUUACAUCUAGUGUUUCUUAUGAGGGUAUUUUUAGAAAAUAUUUGGCAGUACAAAAUGGUUCUCUGUUUUUUAAAUUUUAUAAAUUAAGUAGGGUUAUGGUAUUUUUCAAAAUGGAUGUAUAAAUUUAUCUAUAACAUUAUUUCUUUUUAGUUUCCAUCAUCAUUAAUUUGCCAUCUUCGUCGAGGGUGGGCCUCUUAUCGGUGCUAUAGUUACAUCUGCAAACAACUGAAAAUGUCCCUAUAGAUAUGAACCCACCCAUGUUGGCACCUCAAUCACAAUCAUAUAUUGCAUUGACAUUCUCAUACUUGACAUUGUUACAAGUGUUGAAGCCAAAGAAAGAUAUUGUAUAUUUUUUUGGGUUGGAAUAGUUACAAACCAAAUGGAAACUCUUAUCUUCUUUUCUAGUAUCAGACUCUCACAAUCUCAGUAGGACUUGAAUAGUGUCUAAGACUUAGAAGUCCUAGUUUAAUUUUGUAGUGCAAUUGUAUUUAUAAUUGAUAAUUUGGUUAUUAUUUUUCAUCACAUGUUAAAUCAAGUUUUCCAUGGAUUGCAUUUUCAUAAUUUUUGAAGUUCAGCGUUAUAUAAGUGUCCCUUAGUGUGUGUUGGACUAGGUUAGCAUCUCAUUGUUUAAGUGGCUUCUGAUCUAGUGGAGUUCCAUUUUACUGUUGUUCAGAAAAGGAGAAAGAAGUUCAGUUUUGAUGGCAUUUCAUACUUGGCUCUAAGACCUUAUAGCCACAGUGAUUCAUAUUGGAUGAUGCUGAUGUCUUGGAGAAGGCUGGAUUUUGAUUUAUAUGGGAAAAGAAAAAUAGUGAAUAGAGUCAAACUCUGCUGCCUUGGUAAUCAACUUUUGAAAAUUUGUGUUAGGAUCAAAUAGAAUGAUUGUUUCUUGCAUUUUUUGAGAAUUAUCCAAGGAGAUUAAUAUUAUUUUUUUUUCCAACCUUAGAGCAUUUCUGUUGAUAUUGAUGUGUUUUUACCAACUGUACCCUUUUCAAGUUGCAUUUCCAUUGCUAAUUGAGUUUAAGUUUUGCCUUGUAUAAAGACUCAUCAGUUGCCUUUUAUUGAAAUGAUUGGUGAUUAAGCCUGAGCGCUGAGUGUCUCUCGCAUUUAUUUAUUUACUAAUGUGCUAGUGGAAAAUAUCAAAGUGGACGACUUAAAAUUUUUAUGUUAAUUUGUUUCUUGACAUUUCUUUUAUUUUUCUUUGGUACAGUAUUCCCAAUCGUUGUGAAUCAUUUUGGAAGGAACUUGACUAUGUGAAGAAUUUAUGGAAGAAUAGACAGGAGCUGAAAGUCGAAGAUGCUGGCAUUGCUGCUUUGUUUGGGCUGGAGUGCUUUGCUUGGUUUUGUGCUGGUGAGAUUGUGGGAAGGGGAUUUACUUUCACUGGUUACUAUCCUUGAGAAGAAGAGCUUCAUAUAAUUUGUUUCACGGGAUUGAAUAUGUGAGCUUCUGUUGUCCUUUGAGCGAUUGAAUCGCAAGCACUUUACUUGCAAAUUUUUGUUUUUCUGCAAAAUUUUUGAAGCUGAGAAAUCAGUGGUUUACUGUGAUUGCCUCAAUAAUUUUACAUUUGAAGCUGCUUAGGAUGUUACUGACGAUCGAUUAACUUUGUUAAAGUUCAUCGUUACUCAUGAAUGAUAAUAAUGCUACAAGUUUUUCUAUGGCUUGCCUUCUACUUGAUCAUGCUCAAUGUUUAAACAUUUACAUGAUGGUCCUGUCAAAAAAAAGGCCGAGUAAUAGGAACAGUGGAUUGUAACCAUUCAAUCAUGUUAUUGCAGUCGCAGUGCUACUGUUGGCUGCAUUGAUGUUGCAUUUUUACUGUAGUCAAACUUCCACUUUCGCCAAGUGUAACCUCCAUUCUAUAAUGGAAAUGGCUUUAAUGCAUUAUUUCCUUUACUGUCAAUCAUGGCGAUGAAUUAUUAUACUGAGUGAGAUGAAUUAUCUAUUAAUGAGGUGAACUAGCUUAAUUGGGAAUGCCUAUUUGGUAUUGAAUCCCCUCAAGCAGGGUUCUAACUUAUGAGGUGGAGAAAUGCUAAUUUGCUAUGUAUUUUGUGUAGACUAGCUGAGCAUAUGUAAUUAUGUAUGAUGUGUUUGUGAAUCAAGUUGCUUCUGUUGUUUUUUCUUUAUUUUUUUCAGUGUUGAAAUUUAUCUGAUGCUGACAUCUUUAAUAAACAAUCAACCUGACAGUUAGUCUUUCAUCGGCUUUGCUACUGGUACUAAAACAUCCAUAAAGUGAAUGCAGUUUUAGCCAAUUCUCCCUGCAUAAUUUAGCUUGGUACUGAAUUGCAACUUUAGAAGUAAGCUCGCUGGUUGUCAAGGACUGGUAGAUGCUCAAAUCUUAUUCGGUGCGUGGAUCUGCUGAGAUUGUGUUCUCAUGGCAUGAUAAUGAGCCAUGGCGCUGAAAUUAGAAUGAAUUUGACAACAUCUAGGAAUUCCAUUUAUGAUAACCGUGGAUCUCAAAAAUUUCCCUGGAUUAUAUAGGACUGCCGAUGCCUAUGUUGGCUUUUGAGCUUCAAUUGACUGAGCUAAUAUAAAUCGAUUAAUCCUAAUGCGUCGUUCUCUGAGAUAAUAUAAAUGGCCUUUUGAGCUUCAACUCUCUGGGCCAUUAGUCCAAUGAUUUCGGGUUUUUCUCUGAGCGCGCCCAAUAACUGCUCAAGGUCCAGGUCCGCAGGGCGAUUUGGCAUUGGCUGCACUGUACACCCGCUUGUGCUGACAAGGCAUUUGCUGAUUCGACGAAACAGCGUCAUCCCAUUGCUGAUCAACGAAUUUCGUUCGAGUAAGAAACCUACAAGCGGACAAGAAGAAGCAACUUUCAGGAGCCAAAAUCGAUACAGCAGAGGAAAAGAAUGCUGCUCGAUUCGUUUGUUCCUGUUAGAACUCGCGCCGCGGCAGUAGUAACAUUCGCCAUCGUUUUCAUCUUUCUCUCCGUCUUCGCCGACUCCGCUAAAAACGAUUCUCAGGUGAAAUGCAGUAGAACUUGCGUUGCAGAGAACUGUAAUUCGGUCGGGAUUAGAUACGGAAAGUACUGUGGAGUAGGGUGGACUGGCUGUCCUGGGGAGAAACCAUGCGACGACCUGGACGCCUGUUGCAAGAUUCAUGACGAGUGCGUUGAAAAGAAAGGUUUAAUGAGUAUUAAGUGCCAUGAAAAGUUCAAGAGCUGCAUAAAGAAAGUGAAGAAAUCUGGAAAGGUUGGUUUUUCUCGGGAUUGCCCUUAUGAGACAGCUGUACCUACUAUGGUACAGGGUAUGGAUAUGGCAAUUUUGCUGAGCCAGUUAGGUAGUCCAAAGACUGAACUCUGAUUUCUCUGUGAAGUGCAUUUACCUGUGCUAUUUUACUCAUUUUUUCACUAAGCAAAAUGACUUCUUUCAAGAAUUAUGGACAUUGGUUUUCUUUCUCCAUGAUUUUUUGUUAGCCUACCAGUUCUGAAUACAGAAAUUAUACUCUAAUUUUUUUCAAUGGAUUCUCAUUUCCAAAAUCAUAAAUUUAAAUUUUUAUUGCCUAAA